Molecule: ribosomal RNA, 433 nt
Filed under: uncultured bacterium
Lineage: Bacteria
Description: partial 16S ribosomal RNA
Rfam family: Bacterial small subunit ribosomal RNA
Source: RNAcentral
AACGAACGCUGGCGGCAUGCCUAACACAUGCAAGUCGAACGAGACCUCCGGGUCUCGUGGCGCACGGGUGUGUAACGCGUCGGACCCUGCCGUUAGGUUUGGAAUACCUCCUUGAAAGGGGUGCUAAUACCGGAUAAUUUCUUCGGACAAAAGAUUCAUCGCGCUAGGGUGAGCCCGCGUUCGAUUAGCUAGUGGGUAGUGUAUAAGCCUAUCACGGCGACGAUCCUUAGCUGGUCUGAGAGGAAGAUCCGCCACACUGAGACUGGGAAACGGCCCAGACUCCUACGCAAUGCAGAAGUGAAGUAUCUUGCACUACGGGCGAAAGCAGGAUCCAGCAAUGCCUCGAGAGUCAUGUAGGCCUUAGAGGUGUAAAGCGCUUUUAUACGGGACGAUUAUGACAGUACCGAGAGAAUAAGCUCCGGCUAACUCCGUG